Molecule: ribosomal RNA, 253 nt
Filed under: uncultured bacterium
Lineage: Bacteria
Description: partial 16S ribosomal RNA
Rfam family: Bacterial small subunit ribosomal RNA
Source: RNAcentral
UACGAAGGGGGCUAGCGUUGUUCGGAAUCACUGGGCGUAAAGCGCACGUAGGCGGACUUUCAAGUCAGGGGUGAAAUCCCGGGGCUCAACCUCGGAAUUGCCUUUGAUACUGUAAGUCUCGAGUCCGGAAGAGGUGGGUGGAAUUCCUAGUGUAGAGGUGAAAUUCGUAGAUAUUAGGAAGAACACCGGUGGCGAAGGCGGCCCACUGGAUCGGUACUGACGCUGAGGUGCGAAAGCGUGGGGAGCAAACAGG